Triticum aestivum (bread wheat) is the source of this 953-nucleotide long non-coding RNA. RefSeq lists it as uncharacterized. The record is from RefSeq and is a predicted model, not a curated record. Lineage: Eukaryota; Viridiplantae; Streptophyta; Magnoliopsida; Poales; Poaceae. The transcript has 3 exons.
GCUUCCUGCAAAGAGUCGACAAUGCUAGCCACAUCAUUAAGAUUGCACUAGGCAUUUCUUAUCCUAUGCUGUAAUAGGCUUUUUUUUGGUAAAGAAUUGUUAUCUUAAAUUCUCUGCAAGUUUCCAUAUUGAACUUGCAAUCAAGUAGGAGUAGUUGCAGUGCAACCUUCAGUGUUAGGCUGGUAGCUGGGGAAUGGAAUGAGAAGACAAUGAUCAUCCUACCAAAUGCUUGAGCUUUUCUGACUGUCUUGUUCAUUGUACACCAGCAAAUCAGCCUAAACGUUUUUUAUGUAGUAGGUUAAAUAAAAUUUCAGGUUGAUGCUGAAACGUCAGCAAUCGGAAUGUACCUUCGGAAUAUGCUUCUGGACGAAGAGCCCAAGACCAGCUUGCCAAUGUUGAAUUUGUCGAUUUCCUCGCUUAUAGCAGCCGGCACAUCAUCAGAUUCAAGUAAAACAGCUUCGGCUUCCACCUGUUCAUCAAUCAUAUUACUAUCAGUGUUAGAAUUCGUGAGUUAUAUUAAUCUCAACUGUCAUGCCAAGUUAUAUAAUUGUUGCGCAAGCUGGUUAACCUGUCUCUGAGCACACAUCUUCUUGUAAGGGAGCAACAUGUUCCUCGCUUGCCAUUCCAGCUCUUCCCUGUACGCCGAUGCCACAUCGUCGCGCACUUGCGAGACCGGGAUGUAAUUGCCCACUGUCAUCAGAGGAUGAAGAAUAGCAGGUCAGAUCAGUGUUCUGAAUAAUUGGCAACGACUAAAGAACAGCAGUACGCCCAAGGACAAAACUCUGCACUCUGCAGUUGGUGCUCUGGUAGUAGACAUCAAGAACAGUAAAUUCAGACAGUAGGCAGAGAUGAGAGAGAAGACAGACUUGGAGUGGGCACCAUGGUGAUGGGCGGGCGGACAUGGAGGAUCCGGAAGAGGACCCUCCCGCCGGGCACGAACUUGUCGAGGGCCC